This is a long non-coding RNA of Fukomys damarensis (Damara mole-rat), 559 nucleotides long. RefSeq lists it as uncharacterized. The transcript is spliced from 3 exons. The record is from RefSeq and is a predicted model, not a curated record. Lineage: Eukaryota; Metazoa; Chordata; Mammalia; Rodentia; Bathyergidae.
UCUGAAUUGAGUUGCUGCAUUAAGGCCUCCCUCAGUGUUGGAAGCAUGGACAGCACUGUAAUACAAGCAGAAAAUUCAAAAGUACCAGGGAUUGAACUCGGGACCUCAUGCUUGCCAGGCAGGCACAAUGCUGCUGAGCUACAUCCCCAGGUCUAAACAUACAUCAUGAUCAGCAAUGUAAACAAACACAUGCAGAAGAAAGAAGAAAGAAUCCUAGUGGUGAUCUCUGGGGUAUAGAUUAUGGACAGCACAACAGGGAUGGGGGCUGCCUCCCUCACGCACUGCUGAAGCAUUCCCAUCCACUCACACUGCGGUGGGACAGAGAGACGAGAGAAAGGUAGAAAGGAGACAAAGAAAUCACAACUGAGAACUGCACUUGGGAGAAGACUGCAACUUCCAGGACUUAGCCGAAGUCCCCCAAGACAGCCAUGCCUGUGCUAGAGUUACACCUACUCUCUACCAGAUCCACCAUUAAAGACAAUUAAUUGGCUCAAUUAAGAAAGUAAGGUGUCGUCGUAGGUAGGCCUUGAGAUAAGGAGCAUGCCAAUGCCAACAGGCC